UACGAAGGGGGCUAGCGUUGUUCGGAUUUACUGGGCGUAAAGCGCACGUAGGCGGAUCGUUAAGUCGGGGGUGAAAUCCUGGAGCUCAACUCCAGAACUGCCUUCGAUACUGGCGAUCUUGAGUCCGGAAGAGGUGAGUGGAACUCCUAGUGUAGAGGUGGAAUUCGUAGAUAUUAGGAAGAACACCAGUGGCGAAGGCGGCUCACUGGUACGGUACUGACGCUGAGGUGCGAAAGCGUGGGGAGCAAACAGG
RNAcentral lists this ribosomal RNA (253 nucleotides) under uncultured bacterium. RNAcentral's name for it is "partial 16S ribosomal RNA". It matches the Rfam family "Bacterial small subunit ribosomal RNA", at positions 524 to 776 of the family's 1533-position model. The record is from RNAcentral.